RNAcentral lists this ribosomal RNA (1002 nucleotides) under Salmonella enterica. RNAcentral describes it as "bacterial SSU rRNA". It matches the Rfam family "Bacterial small subunit ribosomal RNA", at positions 108 to 1106 of the family's 1533-position model. Lineage: Bacteria; Pseudomonadati; Pseudomonadota; Gammaproteobacteria; Enterobacterales; Enterobacteriaceae. The record is from RNAcentral. RNAcentral also lists the same sequence under 1 other name.
GAGUAAUGUCUGGGAAACUGCCUGAUGGAGGGGGAUAACUACUGGAAACGGUGGCUAAUACCGCAUAACGUCGCAAGACCAAAGAGGGGGACCUUCGGGCCUCUUGCCAUCAGAUGUGCCCAGAUGGGAUUAGCUUGUUGGUGAGGUAACGGCUCACCAAGGCGACGAUCCCUAGCUGGUCUGAGAGGAUGACCAGCCACACUGGAACUGAGACACGGUCCAGACUCCUACGGGAGGCAGCAGUGGGGAAUAUUGCACAAUGGGCGCAAGCCUGAUGCAGCCAUGCCGCGUGUAUGAAGAAGGCCUUCGGGUUGUAAAGUACUUUCAGCGGGGAGGAAGGUGUUGUGGUUAAUAACCGCAGCAAUUGACGUUACCCGCAGAAGAAGCACCGGCUAACUCCGUGCCAGCAGCCGCGGUAAUACGGAGGGUGCAAGCGUUAAUCGGAAUUACUGGGCGUAAAGCGCACGCAGGCGGUCUGUCAAGUCGGAUGUGAAAUCCCCGGGCUCAACCUGGGAACUGCAUUCGAAACUGGCAGGCUUGAGUCUUGUAGAGGGGGGUAGAAUUCCAGGUGUAGCGGUGAAAUGCGUAGAGAUCUGGAGGAAUACCGGUGGCGAAGGCGGCCCCCUGGACAAAGACUGACGCUCAGGUGCGAAAGCGUGGGGAGCAAACAGGAUUAGAUACCCUGGUAGUCCACGCCGUAAACGAUGUCUACUUGGAGGUUGUGCCCUUGAGGCGUGGCUUCCGGAGCUAACGCGUUAAGUAGACCGCCUGGGGAGUACGGCCGCAAGGUUAAAACUCAAAUGAAUUGACGGGGGCCCGCACAAGCGGUGGAGCAUGUGGUUUAAUUCGAUGCAACGCGAAGAACCUUACCUGGUCUUGACAUCCACAGAAGAAUCCAGAGAUGGAUUUGUGCCUUCGGGAACUGUGAGACAGGUGCUGCAUGGCUGUCGUCAGCUCGUGUUGUGAAAUGUUGGGUUAAGUCCCGCAACGAGCGCAACCCUU